This 156-nucleotide non-coding RNA is filed under the name bovine gut metagenome. The record is from RNAcentral.
UUGCGGUGUUCGCGAGAGCGAAAUUAAAAGGGAAUCGGGUGCAAAUCCCGGACUGUCCCGCAGCUGUAACUCUUGAUAACGACCUAUCUUAAUGUCACUGCCCAAAGGCGGGAAGACGAUAGGAUCGGAGAGAAGUCAGAAGACCUGCCGUAACAC